This 273-nucleotide unclassified non-coding RNA is filed under the name Hevea brasiliensis (rubber tree). The record is from RNAcentral. Lineage: Eukaryota; Viridiplantae; Streptophyta; Magnoliopsida; Malpighiales; Euphorbiaceae.
GGGGGGGCGGGGGGGGGGGGGGGGAGGAGAGGAAGUGGUGCUAUUACGGAAGUGGCAUUGUUGUAUUUUGGAGCCAUAUUUCCAGAGUUAAGGAUGCUGAACAAUGGAUAAGUUACGGAUUUUUCUGGUUUUUUUUAAAGCAUUAAAUUUAAGCUUACUGCAGAACAAACUAUAAAUUUUGAGCAUUGUGACAUUUUUUUUGUGGGUGAUCCCUCGUGCCCUGCUUGGUGUGCUUUUUUACGUAAAAUUUAGGCCUUGCUUGUUGGCAUUUCU